This is a long non-coding RNA of Triticum aestivum (bread wheat), 3666 nucleotides long. RefSeq lists it as uncharacterized. NCBI's taxonomy places the organism in Eukaryota, Viridiplantae, Streptophyta, Magnoliopsida, Poales, Poaceae. The transcript has 7 exons. The record is from RefSeq and is a predicted model, not a curated record.
CAGCCCGAGCCAGACGCCCAGACGACCAGACCUAGCCACGCGACGUGAGUUCCAGACCUCCAGGGAGCCGAGGCAGCCGCCGCCGCCGGCCGGUGACUCCCCUCCAGUCCCCUGCUCGGCUGCUCCCCUCCCCUGACUUCGGCGCUCCCAUCCAGUCCCCUGCAGGCUGCAGCCCUGCUCGCCUGCUCGGCUGCGCUCCUCGCCUGGCUCGCCUGCUCUGCUUCUCCAGCCGGGCGCGGGGCGCCGCCGCGCCGGCUCUGCUCCUGCCCUGCUCCACCCUCCAGUCCUGCCGGCCUCUCCCGCCUCCCGGUCUCCCCUGGGCAACUGCUGCCCCGACUGCAGCCGAGAAUUAAAAGAUGAAGAUAUUUUAUUCAUCGGUGGCCGCAAUGGAAGUGUCUAAAUUUUUGGUGCAAUUGAGCCAUAUUUGAGAUAUUCUUUUGAGGUAGCUAUAGCCUGAUGGACGUUAAGUUUUUCUCUCGCGACGAAUUUUUUUUUUUGGGCCCGGGGCUUGCUCCAAUCCUGGCUCCGCCACUGGUCCCAGCUAUGUCCGACCUUUCUCAUUCCCUUCACUCUCAUCAGCUCCUCCUCUCGGUUUGAUUAGCCUCCCCAUCUGUCCACACUGCCAGUCCCUGGUUUCUACAGGUUUGUGAGACUUCAAGGUUUACAAGCUAGUGUGGCUUUAGUUGAGUGAGUGGAGACAGGUCAGGAAUCACCUCCCUAUUCAGCUAGGCUACACCAUCUUGAGAUUCAACCUGAACCAUGUUCCUUGAAAAGACAAGAGUAAACGGGAAAACUUACUUUGGGUUCAUAUGAUGCAGACCAAGAAUAAACGGUGCAGAUUUGGCUAGCAGCAAAAGAUGAAUGAAUAUAGUGAUGGAAAGCCAAAUUUAAAGUGGUAAUUUCCUUUCACUUCUUAUCCAGUCAUUUGCUAUAAUAAUUGAUAAGUGUUCCUUUUAGUGUUUUGAACUAAUUAUGGUUCCAGAAAUAGGUCGUAUGUAUGUUGCAAAUGAAAUGGUACAGAGCUUCAUCUAAUUUAUUGGUGUGAAUUGUUCUCAUCAUGUACCUGCCCUUUUAGUUAGCGGGAAACAUUGUGAUGCUCAGAUCUUAUGUGCCUAUUUUGAGAGCAGAAAAAUACAGAAAAUCAGCAUCUGAAGCUAAAUAAAAUGCACACACUAUCCUCUUCUUCUGUGUAAUGGUGAGCUACACUUUGAUCUUGUCUCCACUGCUCUCAGUUGGGUUCUACCACACAUUACUAAAACUUUUUUUUGAACCGUAAAUGACCGCAGGAGACUUUUCCUACAGUCUUUGUAUUAAAAGAGUUAGUAAAGUCUUGUCAACCGAGUUACAUUGGGGGGGAGGGGGGCUGAGUACUUACAUUGUGUGGAGGGGUGCGGCAGGGUUAAAUGAGUGUGAUCCUAGAUAGAGGGCCACCCAUUACUAAAGCUUACACAUCAUUUUCAUUUAGAUUUGGUUAUUAUUGGCAUUAGAUUGUGCACACUGAAUGUGAGAACAGGGUCAGGUACUACCACGACGUACAUUCUACUGUGUCCAGUCCUCAAUGCUUAAUGUCCAUCUCUUUGUAGCUUUGCAAAGUUUCAGUGUAUCAUUGUCGUUUUACUGAUGGUCAAUGCAUAUGGGGAACAAAGUGAGGCUCUAUAGGAAGAAGCUCACAAAUUUGAGGCGUCUCUACAAGGAAGCCACACAUCCGUUAUUACAUUUGCCACAUGAGCAAGACCUUUGUCACUCAAAGAAUCCUAUACAUAUCACCUGCAAUUAUAUAUACAAUUCUUCUUAGUGUUGUUACCUUUGAUUUUGCAGUAUUUGUCCUGAUUGAUACUGUAUGAUUAUGUGUUGUUUUGCAGGUACUGAUCUUGGUGUCGAUUCCUACCUGAGCCAUCAGACACAACUUCGGUUGGUCAUAGGUUUCUUGGCUCUUUAGGUAUGUGUGCUAGCACUUCAUUAAGGGUUUAGAUGACCAUGCACAGGGUACAUCUUCUCCUUUCUCCCCAUGUACUUAAUUAGCUUGUGCAAUGAAUGCUGAAUUUGGACAAUAGUGAUUUAUUUGUGCAGUCCAUGCUUAAAAAUUGAAAAACGAAAAGAUGACAUGAUGGGUUUCAACAGUGAUAGUGGUUGUUUAACUCUCCUUUGUUGAACUGCACUAUUUUGUCUACUAAAUUAUGGUCAAUAUUCGCUUCAACGCCGGUUGUAUUCACCUGAAUGCGGGUUAAAAUGAAGUAAAUAUUGUUCUGUAUUUCUGUGCUCCCGUUGUAUUCACUUCAACGCCGGUUGCAAUUUUCUACGAAAAUGACUUCUGAGACUUGUAUUAAAUGUUUUUAACAUCUGGUGGACCUUUUUGAUUUAGAGGAUUUGGGCCAGGGAUUCAAGAACUAAUGGUUUUCAUCCACACGUGUUUUAUUACGAUGCUAUCAAAAGCAGGGGUACAUUUCCUUAUGUUCACUUCCCUUUCUAUCUUAUGAAUAAAUUUGAAACAUUCUUCUGUUUUGCACUGUAGUUUAAUUUAGGAGUCAGGAUUGCCAACUCAUUAAGCAUCUAUGAAGUUACAAUCAAAUGUGUACAUAGUUAGAUAUCUUUGCCCAUUUUUUAACCUUGAAUGACAGUUGAGAGAAGCUCCCACUGCCUUAUAAAAUAAAAUCUUGCUUUACAUAAUUACAUUGGUUGGUUGUUGAGGGAACUCCCAACCAGAGGGGUAGUUGCAAAGGAAAACUAGAAAAGAAACUAGGGCCUAGGCGGGGGCAAGUGGAUAGGGUGACUCAGAGAGAGUCCACAAACGAGGUAAUGAAGGGUACUAGCCGUUGUGCAAAACUUGAUGGAUGGCCCAUAUAUUGCUUGUUUAACAGAUGAAAUUCAAGAAUUUAUGGCAUACAUAAUAUUUGAUUAUAAUGAUCUGUACAUAUACAUUAUGCAUAUGCUAACUGCAGUAGCGACAAAGAGUGGCUGGUGAGUGUGAAACAGAGCGCUUUGCACGCGCCAGCAUGAUCAUGUGCAUGCCAGAUCAAUUUUGAAGCCUGGCUGAUGAAUGGCUAGCUUAUAUGGUUCUGUUCUUGUAGGCUGAGGUUUUCUUUCUUGGGCAACUGAGGCAGAAGAACCUGGUAAAUUGGUUGAGCAGUGCUAUGAGGAUGAACACAGGAUGCUGGUGUACAAGUUCAUGAGCAUUGGGAGCCCUAAGACACACCUCUUCAAAAGUAUAAAUUGCUCCCUUCCGUGGAUGACAAGGAUAAAAAUCGACAAGGAUGAAGAUUGCUAUUGGCGCGGCUAAGGGACUUUCUUGAUGCUAUCUCGCCAGUGAUCUACAAGGCCUACAACGUCUUGCUCGACUCGCGCGGGCGGGCUAUAACGUCAGUCUGAGCCUCCACGAGCUCGAUGCCCUCGGGGAAAGUAGAGCACUCUACACGCUUGCCGAUGCAGUGGUCGUUUAGGUUGACUCGACGACUAGGUAGCAGCAGGAGCGGAUGUGAAAAAGCGGUGGUCAACUUGACCUGCUAAGUGUGCAUUUGCUUUUGAAGCACUUGUCUUCGUAAUCAGUCAAUUAGGCUACAAAACUGGACUGCUACUUCUCUGUUCAUAUAAGCUUAUCCAUAUGUAUGAUGCUCUCACCUAAUGUAUUUUGUGAAUGUGCACUGCCAGUAUUGCAUUUCUACUGCUGUA